AGCUUCGUGAUGUAGCGGUUAGCACUCUGGACUCUGAAUCCAGAGACCCGAGUUCGAGUCUCAGAGAGGCCU
Molecule: transfer RNA, 72 nt
Filed under: Schistosoma curassoni
Lineage: Eukaryota; Metazoa; Platyhelminthes; Trematoda; Strigeidida; Schistosomatidae
Rfam family: tRNA
About the family: Transfer RNA (tRNA) molecules are approximately 80 nucleotides in length. Their secondary structure includes four short double-helical elements and three loops (D, anti-codon, and T loops). Further hydrogen bonds mediate the characteristic L-shaped molecular structure. tRNAs have two regions of fundamental functional importance: the anti-codon, which is responsible for specific mRNA codon recognition, and the 3' end, to which the tRNAs corresponding amino acid is attached (by aminoacyl-tRNA synthetases). tRNAs cope with the degeneracy of the genetic code in two manners: having more than one tRNA (with a specific anti-codon) for a particular amino acid; and 'wobble' base-pairing, i.e. permitting non-standard base-pairing at the 3rd anti-codon position.
Source: Rfam by way of RNAcentral